CUAAAAAUCUAGCUUAUUAUACACAGUUCCUUAUAUCCCCGAACAAAAUAUUUUUACAAUCUAGUAAAGAAGAUUAAAAACCUCCUAUAAGCCAUAAAUAAGUACCGCAAGGGAAAGAUGAAAUAAAAAUGAAAUAAAUUUUAAGCACAAAAAAGUAGAGACUUCCCCUUGUACCUUUUGCAUCAUGAUUUAGCUAGUUUAAUUAGGCAAAAGGACCUUUAAGUCUAACUUCCCGAAACUAAGUGAGCUAAUUUGGGGCCGCUUAAUGAGCUAACCCGUCUCUGUUGCAAAAUAGUGGGAUGACCCCAAAAUAGAGGUGACACGCCUACCGAACUUAGUAAUAGCUGGUUUCUCAAGAAAAGAAUAUUAGUUCCGCCUAAAGCAGUAAGAAUAUAAGUAUAUUAAUCUCGCCCUUUAGAGUAACUCAAAUAAGGUUCAGCCUAUUUGACACAGGAUCCAACCUUCACUUCCGGGUAAUACAACAACAUUUACACCCAAGUAGGCCUAAUAGCAGCCACCUUUCAAAAAGCGUCAAAGCUUACCCGUAUUAAAUCUAAUUCAUCUAUUUUCAUAAACCCCUAUAAUUGUACUGAGAAAUUCUAUAAUUCUAUAGAAGAUAUUAUGCUAAAACUAGUAACAAGAGAAUCAACCUCUCUCUAUGCAAGUAUAAGCCAAGAAGAACCCAUCAUUGGCAAUUAACAGAAAAAGUAAUAACACCCCAAGAAAACCUUACUUCAACAACUGUUAACCUGACACCAGAGCAUUUCAAGAAAGAUUAAAAGAAAAAGAAGGAACUCGGCAAAUAAAAAUUCCGCCUGUUUACCAAAAACAUCGCCUCUUGACCCCAUAAGAGGUCCAGCCUGCCCAGUGACCUAGUUCAACGGCCGCGGUAUCCUAACCGUGCGAAGGUAGCGUAAUCACUUGUCUUCUAAAUAAAGACUAGUAUGAAAGGCACCACGAGAACUUAACUGUCUCCCCUUUCUAAUCAGUGAAACUAAUCCCCCCGUGAAGAAGCGGGGAUCCUCAAAUUAGACGAGAAGACCCUAUGGAGCUUUAAACACUAACCACUUGCCCGCACAUUAAUUACCCCGGUUUCUAAAUCAACGCAAUAUGAUUACGUGUUUUUGGUUGGGGUGACCGCGGAAAAUAACUAAACCUCCACAAUGACGACAUCCAAACUAUAAGCUACAGCUUUAAGUAUCAACAAAUUGACAUUUCUUGACCCAAUAUAUUGAUUAAUGAACCAAGUUACCCUAGGGAUAACAGCGCAAUCCACUUCAAGAGCCCCUAUCGACAAGUGGGCUUACGACCUCGAUGUUGGAUCAGGGUAUCCUAAGUGGUGCAGCCGCUACUAAUGGUUCGUUUGUUCAAC
Molecule: ribosomal RNA, 1372 nt
Filed under: Pristimantis fenestratus (Rio Mamore robber frog)
Lineage: Eukaryota; Metazoa; Chordata; Amphibia; Anura; Strabomantidae
Description: partial 16S ribosomal RNA
Rfam family: Bacterial large subunit ribosomal RNA
Source: RNAcentral